Molecule: long non-coding RNA, 245 nt
Filed under: Capsicum annuum
Lineage: Eukaryota; Viridiplantae; Streptophyta; Magnoliopsida; Solanales; Solanaceae
Description: long non-coding RNA (CANN_LNC019087)
Source: RNAcentral
GCCAUCGCAUUUAUGUCCUGCCUCAUAGGUUAAGCUAAUGGGUUAGCUACAUCUCGAAUAAACCCGAUAUCAAAAGUCCUCCGAUCCUUAAUCAUCUCAUCAACCAUGGGUAUCUCCAAUACUCCUACAGCCUAGCAUAGAUAUGUGAUCAUGCACGGAUACGCCAGGUAUGCCUUCUUCUCUGUAAUACCUCUAUCUUUCAACUCUUUAGCCAAGAAUUCACCAACAUCAAAGGCAUAUCCGAU